GCGCGUUUCUGAAAUUCCUCAAGCUCCUUCACGAAGUUGGCCUUCUUCCGGGUGUAGUCCAUGAAGCCCUUUUUGUGGAGGUUCUGAAGGCGAGUAACCUCCACUGUAGCUUCCGAAUGGCUCUUCCUCAGUCUGUGAAGUUCGUCGUCCAUCUUCUUUGAUUUCUUCAUUAGGUGACAAACUUCCCUUCUCAGAUCCCAGAUCAUGGACUUCAAGGGAAUUCUCUGCGGUAGGGGAAGAGCUUCGGCAGGAUACUGUUGUCGGAAAAUAAGAGCGUCACAAUGCAAAUCAUUGCAAGAAAGAGGAAUCCGAUU
This 314-nucleotide long non-coding RNA is filed under the name Elaeis guineensis (African oil palm). RNAcentral describes it as "long non-coding RNA (EGUI_LNC057525)". Lineage: Eukaryota; Viridiplantae; Streptophyta; Magnoliopsida; Arecales; Arecaceae. The record is from RNAcentral.